Molecule: long non-coding RNA, 458 nt
Filed under: Homo sapiens (human)
Lineage: Eukaryota; Metazoa; Chordata; Mammalia; Primates; Hominidae
Description: non-protein coding lnc-SLC25A36-1:2
Source: RNAcentral
AUGGCGCUGAAAGCAAAGAAGGAAGCUGCUGCUGCUCCUAAAGGAGAAGCCAAAACAAAGGCUUUGAAGGCCAAGAAGGCAGUGUUGAAAGGUGUCCACAGCCACAAAAAAAAGAUCUGCACGUCACCCACCUUCCAGCGGCCCUAGACACUGUGACUCCGGAGGCAGCCCAAAUGUCCUCAGAAGAGUGCCCCCAGGAGAAACAAGCUUGACCACUAUGCCGUCAAGAUUCCCCUGACCACUGAGUCUGCCAUGAAGAAGAUAGACGACAACACACUUGUGUUCAUUUGGUUGUUAAAAACAACAAGCACCAGAUCAAACAGGCUGUGUGACAUUGAUGUGGCCAAGGUCAACACCCUGAUUCACCCUGAUGGAGAGAAGAAGGCAUAUGUUCGACUGGCUCCGGAUUACAAUGCUUUGGAUGUUGCCAUGUUGCCAACAAAAUUGGGAUCAUCUAA